This 253-nucleotide ribosomal RNA is filed under the name uncultured bacterium. Its description in RNAcentral is "partial 16S ribosomal RNA". It matches the Rfam family "Bacterial small subunit ribosomal RNA", at positions 524 to 776 of the family's 1533-position model. The record is from RNAcentral.
GACGAACCGUACGAACGUUAUUCGGAAUCACUGGGCUUAAAGGGUGCGUAGGCUGCGCAGAAAGUUGGGUGUGAAAUCCCUCGGCUUAACCGAGGAACUGCGCCCAAAACUACUGUGCUCGAGGGAGAUAGAGGUGAGCGGAACUUAGGGUGGAGCGGUGAAAUGCGUUGAUAUCCUAAGGAACACCGGUGGCGAAAGCGGCUCACUGGAUCUCUUCUGACGCUGAGGCACGAAAGCUAGGGGAGCAAACAGG